AGCGAACGCUGGCGGCAGGCCUAACACAUGCAAGUCGAACGAACUCUUCGGAGUUAGUAGCGGACGGGUGAGUAACACGUGGGAACGUGCCUUUAGGUUCGGAAUAACUCAGGGAAACUUGUGCUAAUACCGAAUGUGCCCUUCGGGGGAAAGAUUUAUCGCCUUUAGAGCGGCCCGCGUCUGAUUAGCUAGUUGGUGAGGUAAAGGCUCACCAAGGCGACGAUCAGUAGCUGGUCUGAGAGGAUGAUCAGCCACAUUGGGACUGAGACACGGCCCAAACUCCUACGGGAGGCAGCAGUGGGGAAUCUUGCGCAAUGGGCGAAAGCCUGACGCAGCCAUGCCGCGUGAAUGAUGAAGGUCUUAGGAUUGUAAAAUUCUUUUACCCGGGAUGAUAAUGACAGUACCGGGAGAAUAAGCUCCGGCUAACUUCGUGCCAGCCGCCGCGGUAA
Molecule: ribosomal RNA, 449 nt
Filed under: uncultured bacterium
Lineage: Bacteria
Description: partial 16S ribosomal RNA
Rfam family: Bacterial small subunit ribosomal RNA
Source: RNAcentral